GGGCCCGCACAAGCGGUGGAUUAUGUGGUUUAAUUCGAAGCAACGCGCAGAACCUUACCAAGACUUGAAAUCCUAGGAAUCCCGAGUAAUGUUGGGAGUGCUCGCAAGAGAAUCUAGUGACAGGUGCUGCAUGGCUGUCGUCAGCUCGUGUUGUGAAAUGUUGGGUUAAGUCUCGCAACGAGCGCAACCCCUAUCUUUAGUUGCCAGCAUUAAGUUGGGCACUCUAGAGAGACUGCCCGGGUUAACCGGGAGGAAGGUGGGGAUGACGUCAAGUCCUCAUGGCCCUUAUGUCUUGGGCUACACACGUAAUACAAUGGUGCAUACAAAGGGAAGCGACCUGGUGACAGCAAGCAAAAUCUCAAAAAGUGCAUCUCAGUCCGGAUUGGAGUCUGCAACUCGACUCCAUGAAGUUGGAAUCGCUAGUAAUCG
This 429-nucleotide ribosomal RNA is filed under the name uncultured bacterium. Its description in RNAcentral is "bacterial SSU rRNA". It matches the Rfam family "Bacterial small subunit ribosomal RNA", at positions 917 to 1344 of the family's 1533-position model. The record is from RNAcentral.